Molecule: ribosomal RNA, 736 nt
Filed under: Klebsiella sp. HPC860
Lineage: Bacteria; Pseudomonadati; Pseudomonadota; Gammaproteobacteria; Enterobacterales; Enterobacteriaceae
Description: partial 16S ribosomal RNA
Rfam family: Bacterial small subunit ribosomal RNA
Source: RNAcentral
GUAGAUUUUAUGACCCUGCCCCANNAAAGUUCUAAAAAGGGGACCCNUAAUUUUUUNCCGGGGACCCGCUUGUUNUAGGGGGUUACCCCCNGNAACCGGNACCUAAUCCCGAANAUCUUCCCAGGACCAAGGGGGGGNACNUUCGGGCCNCAUGCNNUCAAAUGUGCCCAAAUGGAAUUACNUAGUAGGGGGGGAAACGGCUCACCUAGGCAACAAUCCCUAGNUGGUCUGAAAGGAUGACCACCCNCCCUGGAACUGAAACNCGGCCCAAACCCCUACGGGAGGCANCAGGGGGAAAUAUUGCACAAGGGGCCCAAGCCUGAUNCACCCUUGCCGGGGGUAUAAAAAAGGCCUUCGGUUUGAAAAGUACUUUCACCGGGGAAGAAAGGCAAUAAGGUAAAUACCCUUGUCAAUNGACUUUCCCCGCAAAAAAACCCCCGGUUAAUUCCGNGCCACCACCCGCGGAAAUACGGAGGGGGCAAGCUUUAAUCGAAUUUACGGGGCGUAAAGCCCACCCNGGCGGUCUGUCAAGUCGAAUGUGAAAUCCCCGGGCUCACCCUGGGAACUGCUUUCAAAACUGGCAGGCUUAGAGUUCUUGUAGAGGGGGAUAAAUUUCCGGGUGUAGCGGUUAAAAUGCGUAAAGAUUUGGAAGAAAUCCCGGGUGGCAAAGGCGGCCCCCCUGGAAAAAAGACUGACCCUUCAGGUGCAAAAAGCGGGGGGAGCAAACAGGANUNAA